AGGGGCACGCCUGUUUGAGUGUCGUGAACUCCUCCACCCUCUAUCUUUUUCGGAAGGCAUUGGGCUGGGAUUUGGGAGCUUGCGGGUCCCUGGCCGAUCCGCUCUCCUUGAAUACAUUAGUGAAGCCCUUGCGGCCUUGGUGUGAUAGUCAUCUACGCCUCGGCUUAGCGAACAUAUGUACCGGGACUCGCUUCCAACCGUCUCGCAAGAGACAACUACUACCAACUUGACCUCAAAUCAGGCGGGACUACCCGCUGAACUUAAGCAUAUCAAUAAGCGGAGGAAAAGAAACUAACAAGGAUUCCCCUAGUAACUGCGAGUGAAGCGGGAUGAGCUCAAAUUUAAAAUCUGGCGUCUUCGGCGUCCGAGUUGUAAUUUAGAGAAGCGUUUUCCGCGUCGGACCGUGUACAAGUCUCCUGGAACGGAGCGUCAUAGAGGGUGAGAAUCCCGUCUUUGACACGGACCCCCGAUGCUAUGUGAUACGCUCUCGAAGAGUCGAGUUGUUUGGGAAUGCAGCUCAAAAUGGGUGGUGAACUCCAUCUAAAGCUAAAUAUUGGCGAGAGACCGAUAGCGAACAAGUACCGUGAGGGAAAGAUGAAAAGCACUUUGGAAAGAGAGUGAAACAGUACGUGAAAUUGUUGAAAGGGAAACGCUUGAAGUCAGUCGCGUCCGCCGGGAUUCAGCCGCAAGGUGUACUUUCCGGUGGACGGGCCAGCAUCACUUUCGAUCAUCGGAAAAGGGCGUGAGGAAUGUGGCACCUUCGGG
This 765-nucleotide ribosomal RNA is filed under the name Entomocorticium sp. G. Its description in RNAcentral is "eukaryotic LSU rRNA". The stretch from base 228 to 765 matches the Rfam family "Eukaryotic large subunit ribosomal RNA", at positions 1 to 549 of the family's 3401-position model. Lineage: Eukaryota; Fungi; Basidiomycota; Agaricomycetes; Russulales; Peniophoraceae. The record is from RNAcentral.